Molecule: ribosomal RNA, 253 nt
Filed under: uncultured bacterium
Lineage: Bacteria
Description: partial 16S ribosomal RNA
Rfam family: Bacterial small subunit ribosomal RNA
Source: RNAcentral
UACGUAGGAGGCAAGCGUUAUCCGGAAUGACUGGGCGUAAAGGGUGCGUAGGUGGUUUGAUAAGUUAGUAGCGCAACUCCGGAGCUCAACUUCGGAACUACUACUAAAACUGUCGGACUUGAGUGCAGAAGGGGCAACCGGAAUUCCUAGUGUAGCGGUGGAAUGCGUAGAUAUUAGGAGGAACACCAGUGGCGAAGGCGGGUUGCUAGGCUGUAACUGACACUGAGGCACGAAAGCGUGGGGAGCAAACAGG